Molecule: small nuclear RNA, 107 nt
Filed under: Suricata suricatta (meerkat)
Lineage: Eukaryota; Metazoa; Chordata; Mammalia; Carnivora; Herpestidae
Source: RNAcentral
GUGCCUGUUUCAAGCAGCACAUAUACUAAAAGUUGGAAUAAUACAGAGAAGAUUAACAUGACCCCUAUGUAAGGAUGACAUGCAAAUUUGAAGCAUUCCAUAGUUUU